RNAcentral lists this long non-coding RNA (1258 nucleotides) under Homo sapiens (human). RNAcentral's name for it is "HSALNT0218875". The record is from RNAcentral. Lineage: Eukaryota; Metazoa; Chordata; Mammalia; Primates; Hominidae.
UCCACAACAUGCAAUCGUGUUGCCCACCCAAGGCAUCAUUCGUGGGUCAGAAAAUGUCGCUGUGAGAGUUGCGUGUGCUUCAGUGUUUUUCCCUUUGUUUUCAUACUGCACUUUGAAAAGGAUUCAAUGACAUCUAAUGACCUUAAUAAGAAAUUUUAUUCUUAUGGGGGCCCUUGACUUAGGGAUAAUUUCUCUUUUAUAUGUUUUUGAUAUGGCAGGCUAAUGUAUCAUUUUGUUCUUUUAUUCCACAAACGCAGCAAAUUCUAAGCCUAGGCCUGAGCAACUCAGUCUUUCUCAAUCACAUACAAACUGUGAAUGUUGCUAUGACUUACUGUAAUUUAUUUUUGUAUAUGCUAUAUUGAUUUAUGAAUGGUAUUUACGCAUAUACUUCAUGACAUAAAGCCAGUAGAGAACAAAUAAGCAUGGAUACAGUAAGUAUAAAUAUAAAUUUCCAUAUGAUUUAUUGUUGUUCCUUGUACAUAAGAAACAGUAAUAUACAACUUACACUGCUUUAGAAUGUAAAAUGGAUAAAAAUGUGUACAAAAAAAAGCACAUUCCUAGAAAAAGGUAUUGGCAAAUAGUAAAAAUGGGAGGUCAAAAGCAAAAAAAAAAAAAAAAAAAAACAAAACAAAAAAAAGAAAAAACCAACAAUUCUUCAAUUCAGUGUGCAAACAUUAUAUAAAAAUAGAAAUACUAACUCUACAGGCAGUAUUUCCUGAUAAAUUAUUUAAAUAGCAUAUCUACACAAUCUGAGAUAUCUAUUCCAAUGGCAAUGAGAAAAUAAUUUAUAAAAAUAAAGCAAUGGUAUACCAGAUGAUAGAAAAAAAACAUAACUUUCAGAAAUUGUAUUUAACAUUUCAAUGCUAUUUCCUUAUUGGGAAUACUUCUCUGCAGAGUUUUUAUGCUAUGUACAACACUGACUUUUUAGGUACUACAGUAGCUUUAAGUUUGUUAGACACUUAAACUCUUUCCGCUUGAUCCAAAAAUUCUUUACUCAGUCACACAACAAAUGAGGUAAUAUUUGUAUGUAAGUUUCACCUUUUGUCAUUUUUUUCUCUUUUGGAAAAAUGAAAGAAAAAAGUGUAUAUGCUUUCCUUCUCCCUGGAAAUAUGCACAAGGGAUGGGGUAAAACAGUAUUGAAGACCUCAUGGCUUUCUUUGCAAUUUAAAACAUUUGCAAAUGGAUAACCAACUAAUUCCACUUGAAAAGAUAAAACAGAGAAAAAAAGAAUCCCAUAACAUCCACUCUGAGCACAAGG